CAACGCCUCGCGGGAAGUGUCUCGGCUGCACCACGAGACAUCGCGUGACUCGCGUUCACCUCACACUCUCUACCGGCGCACACAACCACGCAACUUGUGAGCCGUCUUUCCACUCCCGUUUCAUUCUUCUAUUAUGCUCGGCAGCCCUCACUCCACCGGUGCAUACGGCAGCGCUGGCGAUGGCAUGGUCGCCGUGACUUCAAGCAGACUCAGGCAGCGCAGCGUUGUCUGCUGCGCUGCCCCGACAGUCACCGUGGAGGGGGCGACGCUCGACAAGCCGCGCGCCAAAGGCAAAGCCCGGUCGAGGUCUACCGUGUGCAUGGACCACCACAUCCUUUCCCGCAUGGAGGAUGACUUGCGGCGCUCCGCGAUGCGACAGGAAAAUCCUGAGUCGGCGAUUCCCGACCGCGGUCACGAGCACGACCAGAAAGUCUUCCUUGCUGUCGAGGCGUAUCGCGCGAUGAAGUCAACAUAGAGCGACCGCUCCGUCAUCGGCAGCCACCACCCCGUGUCCACCGGCAACGGCUUAUUGCCGGCCGGUACGGCACACUGCACCCUCUCCGGUUGCGGCCGUGUGAGCAACAGCCCAUCACGCACGUGGCACCGGUAGCGCGGCUAGCACGCCUGAAAGAGAGCAUUGCUCAAUGGCACCGGCCAGCCGCUGCAAGGGGAAGGGCGUACGUCGCGCAUGUCCAACCGGGGCGGCCAGGCGCGCGCGAGCCCGCACCGCUCGCCCUCGCGGCGUAAGGAGCCGAGCCUUGCACACCAGUCCCAGCAGCCCUAUCCGGCCGAUGGCCGGCUGGGGCCGAUCGAGUCAGCGUGCAAGACGCCGACACGAAAGCUGGAGGAGGACCACUGCUCCGGCGCUGCUGCCAGGAGCGCUUACAAGCUCAACAAGCAACUCUUCCGGAAGCUUCCCGGCCUAGAGAGGAGGGGCACUGGUGGCUGAUAGCCACGGACUGCGAGCGCGAGCGACGCCUCUGAUCAGCGGACGAGCUGGCCAGAUGCAGGGAGUCCGCAGGGCUUUGAGUGCAACGAUAAGAGUGAGGGAGACGAGAGGACGGAGAAGUUCGAUGUCCAUGUGUGCGUGUGAUGUGUGGGGGCCUACCAUGCGCGACGGAUGUGUAAUUCCACCCCCCCCCCCUCCCUCUCCCUCCCUGCCGCAUGCCUCGUCUGCGACCACCUCUUCCAUGCGUUGUGCUCACAUCUUUCCCGCUGCAUGGCCGUCGGCGCAGUGCGUCUUUGGUGUUUCGUGCAUGCCUUGGUUCGCCUCGAUGUUUCUUACCUUGCUAUUCUCUCUUGUUCGACAACUGCGAAUGUGUGCCUGCAUCUGCAUCUGUCUCUGUAUGCUUCUUGUGACGCUGCAGCGCUCGUCUCUCUCUCGUUCGCACGACUUUGAUCCUCAAUGAGCAGUUUCAUGUGCGUGAUGUCGACAUUUCUCGUGCUGUUGUUUGUCCAACUCCUUCCCGAAAUGGCUUUCCCUUUUUUUUUCUAUUCCAGUUCAGCAGCGCCACGCUACCACCCCCUCCACCAUGUACGUGGCCCCUCUCUUCAUGUAAGCAUUUGACCGGGAGACGGAAGGAAGAGGGUGUGUAAGUGUUCCGUGACCCAGUGAGCCUUCAUGCCACCACCCCACCCCCACCUUGCCUUCUUCAUCUUCUCUUCUUCAUUCGUCGCUUGCCGACAGGCAUGCGUGCAUGUGUAUGUACAUAGGUCCUGCGCGACUGCAGCAUCCACCGUGCUUGCAACGGCGUGGGCUCACAACGCAGAUGCUUCCUUUUCGUCCUCGCUUUCUUUUCCGGUUCUGUGUGCGUGCGCGUGUGCAGGCGGCAUCGCUGCCACGCCCGUGUGAUAUCACACGCACGCCGACGCGCGGACGCAUCCUUCUGUGAUAGGAUACCUUUGCUUGCUUGCUUUCUCUUUUUCACAUGCCCUCCCUGCUUAUUUCUGUCACUGUCACCCUGUGUGCGUGUGCU
This 1976-nucleotide unclassified non-coding RNA is filed under the name Leishmania donovani. RNAcentral's name for it is "gene:LdHU3.06.1390(CDS-product:hypothetical_prote in)". The record is from RNAcentral. Lineage: Eukaryota; Euglenozoa; Kinetoplastea; Trypanosomatida; Trypanosomatidae.